AGAUUAAUAGCUUAAAGCAAUUUCAUUGUUAAUGAAUAGAAGUUUUUAUAGAUUAAUAGG
This 60-nucleotide transfer RNA is filed under the name Leucauge celebesiana. Its description in RNAcentral is "tRNA-Asn". The record is from RNAcentral. Lineage: Eukaryota; Metazoa; Arthropoda; Arachnida; Araneae; Tetragnathidae.